This 253-nucleotide ribosomal RNA is filed under the name uncultured bacterium. RNAcentral describes it as "partial 16S ribosomal RNA". It matches the Rfam family "Bacterial small subunit ribosomal RNA", at positions 524 to 776 of the family's 1533-position model. The record is from RNAcentral.
UACGUAGGGUGCGAGCGUUGUCCGGAAUUAUUGGGCGUAAAGGGCUCGUAGGCGGUUUGUCGCGUCGGGAGUGAAAACUCGGGGCUUAACCCCGAGCCUGCUUCCGAUACGGGCAGACUAGAGGUAGGCAGGGGAGAGCGGAACUCCUGGUGUAGCGGUGGAAUGCGCAGAUAUCAGGAAGAACACCGGUGGCGAAGGCGGCUCUCUGGGCCUUACCUGACGCUGAGGAGCGAAAGCGUGGGUAGCGAACAGG